RNAcentral lists this ribosomal RNA (477 nucleotides) under uncultured Planctomycetaceae bacterium. RNAcentral describes it as "bacterial SSU rRNA". It matches the Rfam family "Bacterial small subunit ribosomal RNA", at positions 29 to 505 of the family's 1533-position model. Lineage: Bacteria; Pseudomonadati; Planctomycetota; Planctomycetia; Planctomycetales; Planctomycetaceae. The record is from RNAcentral.
AAUGAACGUUGGCGGCAUGGAUUAGGCAUGCAAGUCGCGCGAGAAGUCUCAACUAGCUUGCUAUGAGAGACGGACAGCGGCGAAAGGGAGAGUAACGUGUGGUUACGUGCCUUUGGGACCAGGAUAGUAGCGGGAAACUGCUAGUAAUACUGGAUGAUAUCUACGGAUCAAAUGGUGAGAUUCCGCCCAGAGAUCGGACCGCAUACUAUUAGCUUGUUGGCGGGGUAAUGGCCCACCAAGGCUGCGAUGGUUACCGGGUGUGAGAGCAUGGCCCGGCUCACUGGGACUGAGACACUGCCCAGACACCUACGGGUGGCUGCAGUCGAGAAUCUUUGUCAAUGGGCGAAAGCCUGAACAAGCGAUGCCGCGUGCGGGAUGAAGGCCCUCGGGUUGUAAACCGCUGUCAGUUGUUAGGAAAUGUAUGAGGGCGCUCUCUCAUAUUUGACCGAUCAUCAGAGGAAGGACGGGCUAAGUUCG